GGCUGGCCAGAGUGCAUUAGUGUUUACAACUAAUGGAUCACAACCAGUUACAAAUUUCUUUGUUCCUUCUCCACUCCCACUGCUUCACUUGACUAGUCUAAA
Molecule: Y RNA, 102 nt
Filed under: Microcebus murinus (gray mouse lemur)
Lineage: Eukaryota; Metazoa; Chordata; Mammalia; Primates; Cheirogaleidae
Description: Y RNA (ENSMICG00000041459.1)
Rfam family: Y RNA
About the family: Y RNAs are components of the Ro ribonucleoprotein particle (Ro RNP), in association with Ro60 and La proteins. The Y RNAs and Ro60 and La proteins are well conserved, but the function of the Ro RNP is not known. In humans the RNA component can be one of four small RNAs -- hY1, hY3, hY4 and hY5.
Source: Rfam by way of RNAcentral